GCGCAGGCUUUGCUAAGUGGUUACUUCGCAAGUACAGAAUUUAAGUUUCUCGCAACUGCUACACAGACCACUGGCGCAAUCCUGCGUUUUU
This 91-nucleotide vault RNA is filed under the name Stegodyphus mimosarum. It matches the Rfam family "Vault RNA". From Rfam's summary of the family: This family of RNAs are found as part of the enigmatic vault ribonucleoprotein complex. The complex consists of a major vault protein (MVP), two minor vault proteins (VPARP and TEP1), and several small untranslated RNA molecules. The record is from Rfam by way of RNAcentral. Lineage: Eukaryota; Metazoa; Arthropoda; Arachnida; Araneae; Eresidae.